GCCCUUAGAGUUUGAUCAUGGCUCAGGACGAACGCUGGCGGCGUGCCUAAUACAUGCAAGUCGUACGAGUGGCGAACGGGUGAGUAACACGUGGGUAACCUGCCCAAAAGAGGGGGAUAACACUUGGAAACAGGUGCUAAUACCGCAUAACAACAAAAACCGCCUGGUUUUUGUUAAAAGAUCACUUUUGGAUGGACCCGCGGCGUAUUAGCUAGUUGGUAAGGUAAUGGCUUACCAAGGCAGUGAUACGUAGCCGAACUGAGAGGUUGAUCGGCCACAUUGGGACUGAGACACGGCCCAAACUCCUACGGGAGGCAGCAGUAGGGAAUCUUCCACAAUGGACGCAAGUCUGAUGGAGCAACGCCGCGUGAGUGAAGAAGGUUUUCGGAUCGUAAAACUCUGUUGUUAGAGAAGAUGAGAGUAA
RNAcentral lists this ribosomal RNA (424 nucleotides) under uncultured bacterium. RNAcentral describes it as "bacterial SSU rRNA". It matches the Rfam family "Bacterial small subunit ribosomal RNA", at positions 1 to 457 of the family's 1533-position model. The record is from RNAcentral.